RNAcentral lists this ribosomal RNA (465 nucleotides) under uncultured bacterium. RNAcentral's name for it is "partial 16S ribosomal RNA". It matches the Rfam family "Bacterial small subunit ribosomal RNA", at positions 338 to 795 of the family's 1533-position model. The record is from RNAcentral.
CCUACGGGUGGCAGCAGUGGGGAAUAUUGCGCAAUGGGCGAAAGCCUGACGCAGCGACGCCGCGUGAGGGAUGAAGGUCUUCGGAUCGUAAACCUCUGUCAGCAGGGAAGAACGGUAACUGUGCUAAUCAGCAGUGACUUGACGGUACCUGCAACGGAAGCACCGGCUAACUCCGUGCCAGCAGCCGCGGUAAUACGGAGGGUGCGAGCGUUAAUCGGAAUUACUGGGCGCAAAGCGCUCGUAGGCGGUAUGUCAAGUCAAGGGUGAAAUCCCCGCGCUCAACGUGGGAACUGCCUUUGAAACUGGCAAACUGGAGUGUGUGAGAGGAUAGUGGAAUUCCAGGUGUAGGAGUGAAAUCCGUAGAUAUCUGGAGGAACAUCAGUGGCGAAGGCGACUAUCUGGCACAUAACUGACGCUGAGGAGCGAAAGCGUGGGUAGCAAACAGGAUUAGAUACCCGGGUAGUC